CAGAGUUGAUCAUGGCUCAGAAUAAGCUGCGGAGGCCUAACACAUGCAAAGUCAAGCGCAGCACGGGUACUUGUACCUGGUGCGAGCGGCGGACGGGUGAGUAAUGCCUAGGAAUCCUCCCUGGUAGUGGGGGAUAACGCUCGGAAACGGCGCUAAUACCGCAUACGUCUACGGGAGAAAGCAGGGGUACUUCGGGCUUGCGCUAUCAGAUGAGCCUAGGUCGGAUUAGCUAGUUGGUGAGGUAAUGGCUCACCAAGGCGACGAUCCGUAACUGGUCUGAGAGGAUGAUCAGUCACACUGGAACUGAGACACGGUCCACCCCCGACGGGAGGCAGCAGUGGGGAAUAUUGGACAAUGGCGAAAGCCUGAUCCAAGCAUGCCGCGUGUGUGAAGAAGGUCUUCGGAUUGUAAAGCACUUUAAGUUGGGAGGAAGGGCAUUAACCUAAUCGUUGGUGCUUGCGUACCGACAGAAAUAACC
RNAcentral lists this ribosomal RNA (478 nucleotides) under Pseudomonas sp. HA-OP20. RNAcentral's name for it is "bacterial SSU rRNA". It matches the Rfam family "Bacterial small subunit ribosomal RNA", at positions 8 to 492 of the family's 1533-position model. The record is from RNAcentral. Lineage: Bacteria; Pseudomonadati; Pseudomonadota; Gammaproteobacteria; Pseudomonadales; Pseudomonadaceae.